This 466-nucleotide ribosomal RNA is filed under the name uncultured bacterium. RNAcentral describes it as "partial 16S ribosomal RNA". It matches the Rfam family "Bacterial small subunit ribosomal RNA", at positions 28 to 507 of the family's 1533-position model. The record is from RNAcentral.
GACGAACGCUGGCGGCGUGCUUAACACAUGCAAGUCGAACGGAAAGGCCUCUUUCGGGGGGUACUCGAGUGGCGAACGGGUGAGUAACACGUGAGUAACCUGCCCUUGACUUUGGGAUAACUUCAGGAAACUGGGGCUAAUACCGGAUAGGAGCUCCUGCUGCAUGGUGGGGUUGGAAAGUUUCGGCGGUUGGGGAUGGACUCGCGGCUUAUCAGCUUGUUGGUGGGGUAGUGGCUUACCAAGGCUUUGACGGGUAGCCGGCCUGAGAGGGUGACCGGCCACAUUGGGACUGAGAUACGGCCCAGACUCCUACGGGGGGCAGCAGUGGGGAAUAUUGCACAAUGGGUGGAAGCCUGAUGCAGCAACGCCGUGUGCGGGAUGACGGCCUUCGGGUUGUAAACCGCUUUCGCUCAUGACGAAGCUUUGUGUGACGGUAGUGGGUAAAGAAGCACCGGCUAACUACGUG